CUGCCGUCUAUUAAGCCGACCAGUUCUGCUCAUGUGCACUUCUGGUGUGCAAAGGCUGCAGACAGCGACNCUCUUUGGUUGUGUAUGUCCUCAGCUGGGAGGUGCUGAGUGCUUUAAGGGACCACUGAGACAAAC
This 135-nucleotide small nucleolar RNA is filed under the name Acanthochromis polyacanthus (spiny chromis). RNAcentral describes it as "Small nucleolar RNA SNORA70 (ENSAPOG00000008164.1)". It matches the Rfam family "Small nucleolar RNA SNORA70". From Rfam's summary of the family: snoRNA U70 seems to be exclusive to mammals and is a member of the H/ACA class of snoRNA which contain H (ANANNA) and ACA box motifs. The record is from Rfam by way of RNAcentral. Lineage: Eukaryota; Metazoa; Chordata; Actinopteri; Pomacentridae.